AUGCGGGGUUUGGAGGAAGAGGAGAGAUGUGGGAUCUGGAGGAGGACGUUGCCGGCUCCUCUCCUCUCCCCGCGCCUCGUCCGCCUCCUCUCCUCCCUCUCUCUCGUCUCCUCACCCGCACCGCCAGCCCCUUCUCUCUGCUUGCCCCAGCCGUCUCUCUCCUCCCGCGCGCCGUCAGCCCCGGAUCUAGAGGAAGAGGAGAGAUGCGGGAUUUGGAGGAAGAGGAGAGAUGUGGGAUCUGGAGGAGGAAGAGGAGAUCCGGGCGUCCCAGCGGUGGCUCGACCGAUGCAAGUUCUCGACGACGACGCGCUACUCAUCCCUGCCGGCUCCGAUCUCGUUAUCAAGCGCGUGCCCAUCAAGUUCGUGGACGGCCGCGGGGACGCAUCGGCUCCUUGUCAGGACAAAGCUGAGGAGCAGCAUGGCUGUGGGCGCAGUGACCGAGGCGAUGGCAUUGCGUCAUUUCUGCCUCCAUUUCAUAAUUUUGAUGAUCCAGAUAAGGCUGUUUGUCCUGGUUUGGAGGCAGAUGGUAAAAUUCAGACCUGUUUUUAUCACUGGUGGUUGCGAAUCUCAGGCUUUGCAUGUCCGUCUAUGACAUCCUUGCCGUCGAAGGCAGAUUCAUCUUUCCAGGAUAGGGCUGCUCGACGUAUAAAGCUCUACAGGAUUCGAUGA
RNAcentral lists this ribosomal RNA (669 nucleotides) under Triticum aestivum (bread wheat). Its description in RNAcentral is "partial small subunit ribosomal RNA". Lineage: Eukaryota; Viridiplantae; Streptophyta; Magnoliopsida; Poales; Poaceae. The record is from RNAcentral.